This 433-nucleotide ribosomal RNA is filed under the name uncultured bacterium. RNAcentral's name for it is "partial 16S ribosomal RNA". It matches the Rfam family "Bacterial small subunit ribosomal RNA", at positions 29 to 507 of the family's 1533-position model. The record is from RNAcentral.
AACGAACGCUGGCGGCAUGCCUAACACAUGCAAGUCGAACGAGACCUUCGGGUCUAGUGGCGCACGGGUGCGUAACGCGUGGGAACCUGCCCUUAGGUUCGGAAUAACUCCCCGAAAGGGGUGCUAAUACCGGAUAAUGUCUUCGGACCAAAGAUUUAUCGCCUUUGGAUGGGCCCGCGUUGGAUUAGCUUGUUGGUAGGGUAAAAGCCUACCAAGGCGACGAUCCAUAGCUGGUCUGAGAGGAUGAUCAGCCACACUGGGACUGAGACACGGCCCAGACUCCUACGGGAGGCAGCAGUGGGGAAUAUUGGACAAUGGGCGAAAGCAUGAUCCAGCAAUGCCGCGUGAGUGAUGAAGGCCUUAGGGUUGUAAAGCUCUUUUACCCGGGAUGAUAAUGACAGUACCGGGAGAAUAAGCUCCGGCUAACUCCGUG